GCUGUAAUGAUGAUCCCCAUGCGUGUCAACUGACUUCAGAGUCCCCUGUGCUCCUCUGCUGCUUCUCAGCGUUUUGUUGGGAUGUGUGCAGGGCCACAGCACUCUGGAGGCAUGAUCAGACCUCAUUGACCUGAACACAGC
Molecule: small nucleolar RNA, 141 nt
Organism: Trichomycterus rosablanca
Lineage: Eukaryota; Metazoa; Chordata; Actinopteri; Siluriformes; Trichomycteridae
Product: small nucleolar RNA SNORD10
Exons: 1
Source: RefSeq, a predicted model, not a curated record